This 794-nucleotide ribosomal RNA is filed under the name uncultured bacterium. RNAcentral's name for it is "bacterial SSU rRNA". It matches the Rfam family "Bacterial small subunit ribosomal RNA", at positions 60 to 854 of the family's 1533-position model. The record is from RNAcentral.
AGUCGAACGGAGCUGCUUUGAUGAAGUUUUCGGAUGGAUUUAAAACAGCUUAGUGGCGGGCGGGUGAGUAACGCGUGGGUAACCUGCCUCACACUGGGGGAUAACAGUUAGAAAUAGCUGCUAAUACCGCAUAAGCGCACGGUUCCGCAUGGAACAGUGUGAAAAACUCCGGUGGUGUGAGAUGGACCCGCGUCUGAUUAGCCAGUUGGCGGGGUAACGGCCCACCAAAGCGACGAUCAGUAGCCGGCCUGAGAGGGUGAACGGCCACAUUGGGACUGAGACACGGCCCAAACUCCUACGGGAGGCAGCAGUGGGGAAUAUUGCACAAUGGGGGAAACCCUGAUGCAGCGACGCCGCGUGAGUGAAGAAGUAUUUCGGUAUGUAAAGCUCUAUCAGCAGGGAAGAAAGUGACGGUACCUGAAUAAGGAGCCCCGGCUAACUACGUGCCAGCAGCCGCGGUAAUACGUAGGGGGCAAGCGUUAUCCGGAUUUACUGGGUGUAAAGGGAGCGUAGACGGCAAGGCAAGUCUGAAGUGAAAGCCCGGUGCUUAACGCCGGGACUGCUUUGGAAACUGUUUGGCUGGAGUGCCGGAGAGGUAAGCGGAAUUCCUAGUGUAGCGGUGAAAUGCGUAGAUAUUAGGAAGAACACCAGUGGCGAAGGCGGCUUACUGGACGGUAACUGACGUUGAGGCUCGAAAGCGUGGGGAGCAAACAGGAUUAGAUACCCUGGUAGUCCACGCCGUAAACGAUGAUUGCUAGGUGUAGGUGGGUAUGGACCCAUCGGUGCCGCAGCUA